Molecule: transfer RNA, 72 nt
Filed under: Camelus bactrianus (Bactrian camel)
Lineage: Eukaryota; Metazoa; Chordata; Mammalia; Artiodactyla; Camelidae
Also listed under: 2 other names
Rfam family: tRNA
About the family: Transfer RNA (tRNA) molecules are approximately 80 nucleotides in length.
Source: Rfam by way of RNAcentral
GAGGGUAGAGCUCAGUGGUAGAGAGCAUGCUUAGCAUGCACGAGGUCCUGGGUUCAAUCCCCGGGACCUCCA